GACGAACGCUGGCGGCGUGCUUAACACAUGCAAGUCGAACGGUGAAAGCGGAGCUUGCUCCGCUGGAUCAGUGGCGAACGGGUGAGUAACACGUGGGCAACCUGCCCCUGACUUCGGGAUAACUCCUCGAAAGAGGUGCUAAUACCGGAUACGACCCUCGGCGGCAUCGCCAGGGGGUGGAAAGAAUUUCGGUCAAGGAUGGACUCGCGGCCUAUCAGCUAGUUGGUGAGGUAACGGCCCACCAAGGCGACGACGGGUAGCCGGCCUGAGAGGGUGACCGGCCACACUGGGACUGAGACACGGCCCAGACUCCUACGGGAGGCAGCAGUGGGGAAUAUUGCACAAUGGGCGCAAGCCUGAUGCAGCAACGCCGCGUGAGGGAUGACGGCCCUCGGGUUGUAAACCUCUUUUAGUAGGGAAGAAGCGAAAGUGACGGUACCUGCAGAAAAAGCACCGGCUAACUACGUGCCAGCAGCCGCGGUAA
Molecule: ribosomal RNA, 484 nt
Filed under: uncultured bacterium
Lineage: Bacteria
Description: partial 16S ribosomal RNA
Rfam family: Bacterial small subunit ribosomal RNA
Source: RNAcentral